RNAcentral lists this transfer RNA (71 nucleotides) under Stegodyphus mimosarum. It matches the Rfam family "tRNA". From Rfam's summary of the family: Transfer RNA (tRNA) molecules are approximately 80 nucleotides in length. Their secondary structure includes four short double-helical elements and three loops (D, anti-codon, and T loops). Lineage: Eukaryota; Metazoa; Arthropoda; Arachnida; Araneae; Eresidae. The record is from Rfam by way of RNAcentral.
GCCUUCGUGGUGUAACGGUAGCACACUCGGUGCGUAUUCGAGAGGUACAGAUUCGAGUCCCGCCAAGGGCA